GACGAACGCUGGCGGCGUGCUUAACACAUGCAAGUCGAACGCAAAGGCCUCUUUCGGGGGGUCCUCGUGUGGCGCACGGGGGAGUAACACGUGUAUAUCCCGCCCUUGACUUUGGGAUAACUUCAUUGAACUCGGGAGAUUAUCGCACAUAAGCUCCUGCUUCGUGUGAGGUGUUGUUAAAUUUGGGUGGUGGGGGAUGGACUCGCGGCCUAUCAGCUUGUUGGUUGGGUAGUGGCUUACCAAGUCUGUGAGGGGUAGCCAGCCCGAGAGGGUGAGCGGCCACCAUGGGACUGAGAGAGGGACCAGAAGGCUACCGGAGGCAAUAGUGGGGAGUAUUGCCCAAUGGGUGGGAGCCAGAUGCAGAAGCGCCGUGUGCGGAAAGACGGGCUUCGAGUUGUAAACCGGUUUCGCUCAUGAAGAAGCUUUGUGUGACGGUAGUGGGUAAAGAAGCAACGGCUAACUACGUG
Molecule: ribosomal RNA, 467 nt
Filed under: uncultured bacterium
Lineage: Bacteria
Description: partial 16S ribosomal RNA
Rfam family: Bacterial small subunit ribosomal RNA
Source: RNAcentral